UCAGGUGGAACUUCAGUGUUGGUGAGAACCAGCUCACUGUGUUAAAGGGCUUGAUGGCCAGUUGCACUGGAAGCAGCAGCGAGAGUAGUGACACAGACUCCUAUGUGGUGGAAGAGCCAUCAAAUUGCUCGAGUGAGGAAGGCUGCUCUAAGGAGAGCCUUAUUCAAGUGGUGGUGCCAGAGGGCCUGGUUGCUGCCACCAGUACAAGCAAGGGAUCACUGGAAUGGUCUGUCAAGCUUCCCAGCCCAGUUGUUGGAGCAUGGCAUCUACGAAAUGGAGAGUUGGAAGUAGUUGACCUCUUUGAGCAUAGUCGCAUCCUCGGUCUGGACGGCCCUAACCAAAGCAAACAAAA
Long non-coding RNA from Rhipicephalus sanguineus (brown dog tick), 352 nucleotides. RefSeq lists it as uncharacterized. Lineage: Eukaryota; Metazoa; Arthropoda; Arachnida; Ixodida; Ixodidae. The record is from RefSeq and is a predicted model, not a curated record. The transcript is spliced from 2 exons.